This 253-nucleotide ribosomal RNA is filed under the name uncultured bacterium. RNAcentral's name for it is "partial 16S ribosomal RNA". It matches the Rfam family "Bacterial small subunit ribosomal RNA", at positions 524 to 776 of the family's 1533-position model. The record is from RNAcentral.
UACGUAGGCAGCAAGCGUUGUUCGGAGUUGCUGGGCGUAAAGGGUGUGUAGGCGGUUGUUUAAGUUUGGUGUGAAAUCUCCCGGCUCAACCGGGAGGGUGCGCCGAAUACUGAAUAACUAGAGUGCGGGAGAGGAAAGUGGAAUUCCUGGUGUAGCGGUGAAAUGCGUAGAUAUCAGGAGGAACACCGGUGGUGUAGACGGCUUUCUGGACCGUAACUGACGCUGAGACACGAAAGCGUGGGUAGCAAACAGG